RNAcentral lists this ribosomal RNA (507 nucleotides) under uncultured Actinomycetes bacterium. Its description in RNAcentral is "bacterial SSU rRNA". It matches the Rfam family "Bacterial small subunit ribosomal RNA", at positions 384 to 896 of the family's 1533-position model. The record is from RNAcentral. Lineage: Bacteria; Bacillati; Actinomycetota; Actinomycetes.
UGAUGCAGCAACGCCGCGUGCGGGAUGACGGCCUUCGGGUUGUAAACCGCUUUUAGUAGGGAAGAAGGGCUUCGGCUUGACGGUACCUGACAGAAAAAGGACCGGCUAACUACGUGCCAGCAGCCGCGGUAAUACGUAGGGUCCGAGCGUUGUCCGGAAUUAUUGGGCGUAAAGAGCUCGUAGGCGGUUUGUCGCGUCUGCUGUGAAAACUAGAGGCUCAACCUCUAGCCUGCAGUGGGUACGGGCAGACAUGAGUGGUGUAGGGGAGACUGGAAUUCCUGGUGUAGCGGUGGAAUGCGCAGAUAUCAGGAGGAACACCGAUGGCGAAGGCAGGUCUCUGGGCACUUACUGACGCUGAGGAGCGAAAGCGUGGGGAGCGAACAGGAUUAGAUACCCUGGUAGUCCACGCCGUAAACGUUGGGCGCUAGAUGUGGGGACCUUUCCACGGUUUCCGUGUCGUAGCUAACGCAUUAAGCGCCCCGCCUGGGGAGUACGGCCGCAAGGCUA